Non-coding RNA from Paramuricea clavata, 1230 nucleotides. The record is from the annotation of a GenBank genome assembly. NCBI's taxonomy places the organism in Eukaryota, Metazoa, Cnidaria, Anthozoa, Malacalcyonacea, Plexauridae.
GCUGUACACACUGUAUACGUAAAUGAAUAUCACGCAACUCGCAAGAAUAUGUUUAUAAUAUCUUUUAACUUUUUUUUAGAAAUUCAUGCAAAAUUUUUUGAAACCUCCAGUCUAACUGGUGAAAAUGUUGGUAGGUUUUGAAGUCAAUUUUCGGAUUUAAACGUACUGCAUGCGAAUUACCCUUGUAAUCACCCUAUACUACAGUAACUGUUCUAGUGUUCUGUAAAAAAUAGGAAUUUUUUUCUUGCAGGCAAACUAUUUCAUGAAGUUGGAAAGACAUGCUUAGAAAAGCUUGUUGUGAAAGCCCCCAAAGGCAAAGGUUCAGACUCAUAUAAUUAUGUAGUUAGACCUAUUUCAAAUUCAUUGUGCAUGUCACGCGAAUACAAGGAUUAUAGUAAAGUUUUACCGUGGGCAACCCAGCAAAUAUAUGUAUUCACUUAACAACGCUUAAAAAUGCGCAUAAAGUUCGUCUGCCUUUGCUAUCAAAUGCAGAUUCGGAUGUUUACGUCAUUGUGUUUUCAUAUAGUAUACCAUAGACAAUCCAGAAGACAGAAGUUUUAUAUUCGUUUUCGAUUUUCGCGAUGUAGGUAUAAUCCUGUAACAAAAAUGGCUACUUAUAUUCAAUGACAAUGCAUGGACCUUUGGCUGCAGCCAUCAAGGUCAAAACAUCUUUGCAGUGUUCCUAUGUCCUGCAAUGUCACAACGUCAGAUAUGUGGAAAGGUCUAAAAGUAUAUAGAUUGCAGUCCUCUCCUCCUUUUUUGUAAUGUUCAUUCUCUAUUAUUUUUAGAGAUUCUAUCACUAACAUUAGAGGAGCCGAUAAAACAAAGACAAAAGCGUUGUUAAUGAUUUAGGAUGACCAAAUUCAGUUUGUCACCUCCAAUUCGGAGUUGAAACUAAAUAGUAAUUACAAUAAUUGUGAUAUAUUAACACAUUCAGGAGCAAAGCUAAACACAAGUAUACACAAGAGUAAAAGUUGAUUUUUAAAAGUUAAGUAGUAUUUAAAUUUUUAUAGCAGAAGGAACGAAUCCUGUUAAAUAUACGAAUUAUUAUUUACGGCUAUAUGAUUCACGUUAAAGACUACUCUAAUAUCAUGUAUUUACAUCGUAGUUAAAAUGAAGAUUGAAUUUAUCAAUAGCGAAUACAAGUGCACUGCCCUUAAAGCAUUCAGUUCUGCAGAAAAAAUGACAUAUUUUAAUGACUAAUGUUAUCUGAAUAGUGAUUGUUUUACG